RNAcentral lists this ribosomal RNA (497 nucleotides) under uncultured bacterium. RNAcentral's name for it is "partial 16S ribosomal RNA". It matches the Rfam family "Bacterial small subunit ribosomal RNA", at positions 28 to 507 of the family's 1533-position model. The record is from RNAcentral.
GACGAACGCUGGCGGCGUGCCUAAUACAUGCAAGUUGAGCGCUGAAGGUUGGUACUUGUACCAACUGGAUGAGCAGCGAACGGGUGAGUAACGCGUGGGGAAUCUGCCUUUGAGCGGGGGACAACAUUUGGAAACGAAUGCUAAUACCGCAUAAAAACUUUAAACAAAAGUUUUAAGUUUGAAAGAUGCAAUUGCAUCACUCAAAGAUGAUCCCGCGUUGUAUUAGCUAGUUGGUGAGGUAAAGGCUCACCAAGGCGAUGAUACAUAGCCGACCUGAGAGGGUGAUCGGCCACAUUGGGACUGAGACACGGCCCAAACUCCUACGGGAGGCAGCAGUAGGGAAUCUUCGGCAAUGGACGAAAGUCUGACCGAGCAACGCCGCGUGAGUGAAGAAGGUUUUCGGAUCGUAAAACUCUGUUGGUAGAGAAGAACGUUGGUGAGAGUGGAAAGCUCAUAAAGUGACGGUAACUACACAGAAAGGGACGGCUAACUACGUG